RNAcentral lists this ribosomal RNA (254 nucleotides) under uncultured bacterium. RNAcentral's name for it is "partial 16S ribosomal RNA". It matches the Rfam family "Bacterial small subunit ribosomal RNA", at positions 524 to 776 of the family's 1533-position model. The record is from RNAcentral.
UACGGGGGGAGCAAGCGUUGUUCGGAUUUACUGGGCGUAAAGGGCGCGUAGGCGGUCAGCACAGGUCAGUUGUGAAAUCUCCGGGCUUAACUCGGAAAGGUCAACUGAUACUGUGCGACUAGAGUGCGGAAGGGGCAACUGGAAUUCUCGGUGUAGCAGUGAAAUGCGUAGAUAUCGAGAGGAACACCUGCGGCGAAGGCGGGUUGCUGGGCCGACACUGACGCUGAUGCGCGAAAGCCAGGGGAGCGAACGGG